RNAcentral lists this ribosomal RNA (274 nucleotides) under uncultured bacterium. RNAcentral describes it as "partial 16S ribosomal RNA". It matches the Rfam family "Bacterial small subunit ribosomal RNA", at positions 523 to 796 of the family's 1533-position model. The record is from RNAcentral.
AUACGGAGGGUGCGAGCGUUAAUCGGAAUUACUGGGCGUAAAGGGCGCGUAGGUGGUUAGGUCAGUCGGAUGUGAAAGCCCCGGGCUCAACUCGGGAAUUGCAUUCGAUACUGCCUGGCUUGAGUAUGGUAGAGGGAAGUGGAAUUCCGGGUGUAGCGGUGAAAUGCGUAGAUAUCCGGAGGAACACCAGUGGCGAAGGCGGCUUCCUGGACCAAUACUGACACUGAGGCGCGAAAGCGUGGGGAGCAAACAGGAUUAGAUACCCCAGUAGUCC